This 548-nucleotide ribosomal RNA is filed under the name uncultured Glomus. RNAcentral's name for it is "SSU rRNA". It matches the Rfam family "Eukaryotic small subunit ribosomal RNA", at positions 548 to 1098 of the family's 1831-position model. Lineage: Eukaryota; Fungi; Glomeromycota; Glomeromycetes; Glomerales; Glomeraceae. The record is from RNAcentral.
UUGGAGGGCAAGUCUGGUGCCAGCAGCCGCGGUAAUUCCAGCUCCAAUAGCGUAUAUUAAAGUUGUUGCAGUUAAAAAGCUCGUAGUUGAAUUUCGAGACCGGCUUACUGGUCGUGCUAUUGUACGUACUGGUAUAAUCGGUUUCUCCUUUCUGACGAACUAUAAUGCCAUUAAUUUGGUGUUUUAGGGAAUCAGGACUGUUACUUUGAAAAAAUUAGAGUGUUUAAAGCAGGCUCACGCUUGAAUACAUUAGCAUGGAAUAACGGAAUAGGACGUUUGAUUCUAUUUUGUUGGUUUCUAGGAUCGACGUAAUGAUUAAUAGGGAUAGUUGGGGGCAUUAGUAUUCAAUUGUCAGAGGUGAAAUUCUUGGAUUUAUUGAAGACUAACUACUGCGAAAGCAUUUGCCAAGGAUGUUUUCAUUAAUCAAGAACGAAAGUUAGGGGAUCGAAGACGAUCAGAUACCGUCGUAGUCUUAACCAUAAACUAUGCCGACUAGGGGUCGGAUGAUGUUAAUUUUUUAAUGACUCAUUCGGCGCCUUACGGGAAAC